AGUCCGUUUGACAAAGUAUUAGUUCCCAUACUCUACCGAACUGACUAGUUGCGUCUGGCCCUCCACCCAAAUUAAAACUUAAAAUAGCUGACAACGGGUUCUAUUCCAAUUACCAACGACGACACAUGAAAUCUGACGCAUUUGAUAGAAUGCUUGGUGGUCAUCCUUGGCAUAUAUCUUGAUUCUACUUAUUUAUUUUCCUCCUUCCCUUACAACGGUGGAAAGCGGUUUUGUAAGUUAGGAAUGCGGUUUAUGGUCCGUUAGUGACGAUAUUGAGUAAAGAUGUGAAAGUAAGGUUUAACUUUGCUUGGAUGGUAUUGUAGGGUUUAUGUGUUUGAUUUUCCGUAGUUGUUUUUGGGGCAUAUUGGCAAGAAAAUUAUAUCUUGGUGGUGGUACCUGUUAGGGUUGGAAAAAUAUUGGACAAGGUCAAGUUCUUUGUAACACGAAUUUGAAGUAAAAAAAAAUAUAAACUAAAUAAGAGAAAUGUGGAAGAAAAAAAAAACAAUCAACAAAUGAGAGAUAAGAAGACUAAGCAAUUAACAAAUGACGUACAAAGCCAACACAUACUGUACGAUGCAGUCAAUGUGAAAAGAGAAAAGCAAAUAACAAAAGCUAGACGUAGUAUCAUGUUGCAUUAUCCAGUAAUCAAAGUAUGGAAGAAAGCCUGGAUGGUAGUGUUUGUGAAGAUGACAAGGCUAUGAUAUUUGCAAACAAUGAAACCCAGCUGGAAGAAGUUUGCGAUUGCUGGUACUUGGAGGAUCACAGAUACAGAUGGAUACUUAAGUGUCAUGCCUGCUUCACUGUUACUGCUGAAAUUGAGAGGAUUUUAUCUGUCCAAAAUGUGGAAAUGGUGGCACCUUGAGGAACUGUCACUUUUAGUCCAUUUUCAUUAGUAGAGGAUGUUCAAAACUUUGGUUGGCUGGCUUUUCUGCCCCUCAAUUUUGUUUCUUAUUGCUGUUGGAAUAGAAGAACGUAAUUUAAAGCAUGCUUCAUCUGUAUAAGAUUCACGUUAUUAUAUAACUAAUUUAAAAACUUA
Molecule: long non-coding RNA, 1036 nt
Organism: Medicago truncatula (barrel medic)
Lineage: Eukaryota; Viridiplantae; Streptophyta; Magnoliopsida; Fabales; Fabaceae
Exons: 2
Source: RefSeq, a predicted model, not a curated record